ACUAAUCGCUUGGACCGGGACCUGAACGCAACUGCUACUUUCUUCACUCUCGGCUCUCGUCCAUAAACCCUAGCUCCUUCCUGAAUUAGUUGAAGCUAGGUUUUUCUGCAACUCUCCAAUCCCCGCCCAACAUGGCAGACAUCGAAAUGGACGACGCCUACACUCUCCCCCAAAGCGAAGACGAAGACAUCUGCACCUCAAUCCUCGCCCGCUUCAGCAACUCCACGCGCGAGGACCACCGCCACCUCUGCGCAGCCAUAGGCGCCAUGGCUCAGGAGCUCAAAGACGAGAACCUCCCUUCGACUCCCGUCGCCUAGUUGGGCUUCACGUGUUCUUCUCUCGACGGGCUCUCCUCCCAGCCCGAGCCUCCCGCUCACGUGAUAGACGCCCUCCUCACAAUUCUCUCCAUUAUCUUUCGGAAAGUGUCGCCCGCAAUUCUCGUGAAGAGGUCCGAGUUCCUAUCGGAGCUCUUGGCCUGUGUUCUGCGGUCUUCGUCUUUGACGGUGGGCGCCGCCCUCUCGGGAUUGAAAUGCAUAUCGCUUCUGCUCAUCAUCAGAUGCCGUGUCAACUGGUAUGAUGUGUCUUCAGUAUAUGGCUUCUUAUUGAGCUUUAUUACCGAUUCCCGCACUAAGGUGAGAAGACAAUCACAUUUGUGUCUUCGUGAUGUGCUGCGAAGUUUACAAGGAACACCGCUGCUGGCCCCUGCAAGUGAAGGGGUUACUAACUUAUUUGAAAGGUUUCUUCUGCUUGCCGGUGGGUCAAAUGCAGAUGCUGGUGAAGGACCCAAGGGAGCUCAGGAGGUCUUGUAUGUUUCGGAUGCUUUGAAAGAGUGUCUUUUUCAUAUGUCGAUCAAGUACAAAACUGCCGUCCUCAAGCACUACAAAACUCUUUUGGAAUUGCAACAACCACUUGUUACGAAGCGCAUAACAGAUAGUUUGAAUAUACUUUGUCUCAAUCCAUCUACAAAUGUUUCUCCUGAAGUGUUGCUCGAUCUGUUAUGCUCAUUAGCUCUUUCUGUCUCCACAAAUGAGACAUCUGUCGAUGGGAUGACAGUCACAGCUCGCUUGCUCGGUAAUGGAAUGGCCAAAGUUUAUUCCCUCAAUAGGCAUAUGCGUAGUUAAACUCCCUACUGUAUUCAAUGCACUCAGAGAUGUAUUGGCAUCUGAGCAUGAAUAGGCCAUACACGCAGCAGUGCAUACAUUUAAGACUCUCAUUCAUGCUUGCAUUGAUGAAAGCUUGAUCAAACAGGGAGUUGACCAGAUUGCAAUGAAUGCAAAUCUGGAUGCAAGGAAGUCUGGGCCAACUAUAAUUGAAAAAGUUUGUGCUACUAUUGAAAGCUUGCUUGGUUAUCACUAUGCUAGUGUCUGGGACCUUGCAUUCCAAGUUGUUUCAGCAAUGUUCGAUAAAUUAGGGGUAUAUUCUUCUUAUUUCAUGAGGGGUGCGCUCAGGAGCUUGGAAGGGAUGGCGAAGUUAUCCGAAGAAGAUUUCCCUUUCAGGAAAGAGUUGCAUGAAUGCUUUGGAUCGGCUCUUGUUGCAAUGGGACCUGAAACAUUUUUAGGUCUUCUACCUCUUAAUUUGGAGGCUGAAGACCCAAGUCAGGUGAAUGUUUGGCUCUUUCCGAUACUGAAGCAGUAUACUAUUGGUGCACGUUUGAGCUUCUUUACAGAGUCGAUUUUGGGUAUGGUUCAAACGAUGAAGGACAAAUCCAGAGAGCUUGAGUCACAAGGACGUAUUUUUUCAUCAAGGAGCACAGAUGGGUAGGUGAAUGCUUUGUGGUCGUUGUUACCUUCAUUUUGCAACUACGCUUCUGAUACUGCUGAAAGUUUCAACGAUCUAGAACAAGCCUUGUGCAGUGCCCUUCAAGAUGAACCUGAGAUUCGCGGAAUAAUAUGCUUGAGCUUGCAGAUUCUUGUUCAACAAAAUAAGAAAAUUGUGGGAGAAGUGAAUGAUCUGUCUGAUAGUGAAGUAGGUAGUGCCAGACACAGAGUUGUUGCUAACUAUACCCCUCAGGUUACAGCAGACAACUUGAGCGUGCUCAAGUCUUCUGCUUGCAAGUUACUGCUUGUUCUAUCAGGUGUCUUCUUGAAUACCACAAAAGAUGAUGCGGGCUGUUUGCAGUCCACAAUUGGUGAGUUUGCUUCAGUAGCAGAUACAGAAGCUGUAUCAGCGCUUUUCCGAAGUACAAUGCUGAAGCUUUUAAUGGUUAUUAAAAGGGGCUAGGAAAGCACAAAGUCAUAGAGAUUGUAAUUCCAAGCGGGCACAAGUAUUUGACUUGACAGUUUCACUUUUACCUGGUUUAAAUGCUGAUGAGGUUAAUGUUCUUUUUGGAGUAAUAAAGAGUGCAUUACAGGAUGAUGAAGGUUUGAUACAAAAGAAGGCAUAUAAAGUUCUUUCAAUCAUUCUCAGGGUAUGCAAAAGUUAAUAAUUUGUAUGCUUUGAAUGUUAUGGAUUAUCUAUAAUAAUGCUUCCAUACUGUGACCUGAAUUGUCAUCAUCUGUCAGUGGAAACUAUGGGAAAACAAGAUUUACUGGUUGUAAUUGGUUUGUAAUUGAUUUACUGUCACCUACCCAUGUUA
Prunus dulcis (almond) is the source of this 2575-nucleotide RNA transcript. It is a transcript of the gene named RRP12-like protein, with no coding region annotated. The record is from RefSeq and is a predicted model, not a curated record. NCBI's taxonomy places the organism in Eukaryota, Viridiplantae, Streptophyta, Magnoliopsida, Rosales, Rosaceae. The transcript is spliced from 9 exons.